GACGAACGCUGGCGGCGUGCUUAACACAUGCAAGUCGAACGGAAAGGCCCUGCUUUUGUGGGGUGCUCGAGUGGCGAACGGGUGAGUAACACGUGAGUAACCUGCCCUUGACUUUGGGAUAACUUCAGGAAACUGGGGCUAAUACCGGAUAGGAGCUCCUGCUGCAUGGUGGGGGUUGGAAAGUUUCGGCGGUUGGGGAUGGACUCGCGGCUUAUCAGCUUGUUGGUGGGGUAGUGGCUUACCAAGGCUUUGACGGGUAGCCGGCCUGAGAGGGUGACCGGCCACAUGGGGACUGAGAUACGGCCCAGACUCCUACGGGAGGCAGCAGUGGGGAAUAUUGCACAAUGGGCGGAGGCCUGAGGCAGCAACGCCGCGUGCGGGAUGACGGCCUUCGGGUUGUAAACCGCUUUCGCCUGUAACGAAGCGUGAGUGACGGUAAUGGGUAAAGAAGCACCGGCUAACUACGUG
Molecule: ribosomal RNA, 468 nt
Filed under: uncultured bacterium
Lineage: Bacteria
Description: partial 16S ribosomal RNA
Rfam family: Bacterial small subunit ribosomal RNA
Source: RNAcentral